AGUGAACGCUGGCGGUAGGCCUAACACAUGCAAGUCGAACGGCAGCACAGUAAGAUCUUGCUCUUACGGGUGGCGAGUGUCGGACGGGUGAGGAAUACAUCGGAAUCUACUUUUUCGUGGGGGUUAACGUAGGGAAACUUACGCUAAUACCGCAUACGACCUACGGGUGAAAUCAGGGGAUCUUCGGACCUUUCGCGAUUGAAUGAGCCGAUUUCGGAUUAGCUAGUUGGCGGGGUAAAGGCCCACCAAGGCGACGAUCCGUAGCUGGUCUGAGAGGAUGAUCAGCCAAACUGGAACUGAGACACGGUCCAGACUCCUACGGGAGGCAGCAGUGGGGAAUAUUGGACAAUGGGCGAAAGCAUGAUCCAGCCAUACCGCGUGGGUGAAGAAGGACUUCGGGUUGUAAAGACCUUUUGUUGGGAAAGAAAAGAAGCAGGUUAAUACCACGAUGUUCUGACGGUACCCAAAGAAUAAGCACCGGCUAACUUCGUG
RNAcentral lists this ribosomal RNA (492 nucleotides) under uncultured bacterium. Its description in RNAcentral is "partial 16S ribosomal RNA". It matches the Rfam family "Bacterial small subunit ribosomal RNA", at positions 29 to 507 of the family's 1533-position model. The record is from RNAcentral.